UACGUAGGGUGCAAGCGUUGUCCGGAUUUAUUGGGCGUAAAGAGCGUGUAGGCGGCUAGGUAGGUCCGUUGUGAAAACUGGAGGCUUAACUCGUGGCCUGCAGUUGAGACUGUCUGGCUUGAGUGUGGGAGAGGAGAGUGGAAUUCCUGGUGUAGCGGUGAAAUGCGUAGAUAUCAGGAGGAACACCGGUGGCGAAGGCGGCUCUCUGGACCACAACUGACGCUGAGGCGCGAAAGCUAGGGGAGCAAACAGG
This 253-nucleotide ribosomal RNA is filed under the name uncultured bacterium. Its description in RNAcentral is "partial 16S ribosomal RNA". It matches the Rfam family "Bacterial small subunit ribosomal RNA", at positions 524 to 776 of the family's 1533-position model. The record is from RNAcentral.